Molecule: ribosomal RNA, 842 nt
Filed under: uncultured bacterium
Lineage: Bacteria
Description: bacterial SSU rRNA
Rfam family: Bacterial small subunit ribosomal RNA
Source: RNAcentral
ACACAUGCAAGUCGAGGGGCAGCAUGGUCUAGCAAUAGACUGAUGGCGACCGGCGCACGGGUGAGUAACACGUAUCCAACCUACCGGUUAUUCUGGGAUAGCCUUUCGAAAGAAAGAUUAAUACCGGAUAGUAUAACGAGAAGGCAUCUUCUUGUUAUUAAAGAAUUUCGAUAACCGAUGGGGAUGCGUUCCAUUAGUUUGUUGGCGGGGUAACGGCCCACCAAGACAUCGAUGGAUAGGGGUUCUGAGAGGAAGGUCCCCCACAUUGGAACUGAGACACGGUCCAAACUCCUACGGGAGGCAGCAGUGAGGAAUAUUGGUCAAUGGACGAGAGUCUGAACCAGCCAAGUAGCGUGAAGGAUGACUGCCCUAUGGGUUGUAAACUUCUUUUAUAUGGGAAUAAAGUGCAGUAUGUAUACUGUUUUGUAUGUACCAUACGAAUAAGGAUCGGCUAACUCCGUGCCAGCAGCCGCGGUAAUACGGAGGAUCCGAGCGUUAUCCGGAUUUAUUGGGUUUAAAGGGAGCGUAGGCGGAAGCUUAAGUCAGUUGUGAAAGUUUGCGGCUCAACCGUAAAAUUGCAGUUGAUGCUGGGUUUCUUGAGUGCAGUAGAGGUAGGCGGAAUUCGUGGUGUAGCGGUGAAAUGCUUAGAUAUCACGAAGAACUCCGAUUGCGAAGGCAGCUUACUGGACUGUAACUGACGCUGAUGCUCGAAAGUGUGGGUAUCAAACAGGAUUAGAUACCCUGGUAGUCCACACAGUAAACGAUGAAUACUCGCUGUUUGCGAUAUAAUGCAAGCGGCCAAGCGAAAGCAUUAAGUAUUCCACCUGGGGAGUACGCCGGCA